Molecule: ribosomal RNA, 301 nt
Filed under: uncultured bacterium
Lineage: Bacteria
Description: partial 16S ribosomal RNA
Rfam family: Bacterial small subunit ribosomal RNA
Source: RNAcentral
CAGUAGCCACGGGAAUACGGAGGGGGCUAGCGUUGUUCGGAAUUACUGGGCGUAAAGCGCACGUAGGCGGCUUGGUAAGUUAGAGGUGAAAGCCUGGAGCUCAACUCCAGAAUUGCCUUUAAGACUGCCGAGCUAGCAGGUGAGAGAGGUAGGUGGAACUCCGAGUGUAGAGGUGAAAUUCGUAGAUAUUCGGAGGAACACCAGUGGCGAAGGCGGCUUACUGGCUCAUACUGGACGCUGAGGUGCGAAAGCGUGGGGAGCAAACAGGAUUAGAUACCCGAGUAGUCCCUGUCUCUUAUAA